RNAcentral lists this ribosomal RNA (253 nucleotides) under uncultured bacterium. RNAcentral describes it as "partial 16S ribosomal RNA". It matches the Rfam family "Bacterial small subunit ribosomal RNA", at positions 524 to 776 of the family's 1533-position model. The record is from RNAcentral.
UACGAAGGGGGCGAGCGUUGUUCGGAUUUACUGGGCGUAAAGGGCGCGCAGGCGGCGCAUUUUGUCAGGCGUGAAAGCCCCGGGCUUAACCUGGGAACUGCGUUUGAUACGGAUGGGCUAGGGUUCGGGAGAGGAGAGUGGAAUUCCCAGUGUAGAGGUGAAAUUCGUAGAUAUUGGGAAGAACACCGGUGGCGAAGGCGGCUCUCUGGACCGAGACUGACGCUGAGGCGCGAAAGCGUGGGGAGCGAACAGG